Molecule: ribosomal RNA, 541 nt
Filed under: uncultured bacterium
Lineage: Bacteria
Description: bacterial SSU rRNA
Rfam family: Bacterial small subunit ribosomal RNA
Source: RNAcentral
AAUAGAUACCCAGGUAGUCCAUGCCGUAAACGUUGGGCACUAGGUGUGGGACCCCCUCAACGGGUUCCGUGCCGUAGCUAACGCAUUAAGUGCCCCGCCUGGGGAGUACGGCCGCAAGGCUAAAACUCAAAGGAAUUGACGGGGGCCCGCACAAGCAGCGGAGCAUGUUGCUUAAUUCGAGGCAACGCGAAGAACCUUACCUGGGUUUAACAUGUACGGAAAGCCACAGAGAUGUGGUGUCCUUUUGGGCCGUACACAGGUGGUGCAUGGUUGUCGUCAGCUCGUGUCGUGAGAUGUUGGGUUAAGUCCCACAACGAGCGCAACCCUUGUCCUAUGUUGCCAGCGGGUAAUGCCGGGGACUCGUAGGAGACUGCCGGGGACAACUCGGAGGAAGGUGGGGAUGACGUCAAAUCAUCAUGCCCCUUAUGUCCAGGGCUGCAAACAUGCUACAAUGGCCAGUACAAAGGGCUGCUAUACCGCGAGGUUGAGCGAAUCCCACAAAGCUGGUCUCAGUUCGGAUUGGAGCCUGCAACUCGACUCC